UACGGAGGGUGGAAGCGUUAUCCGGAUUCACUGGGUUUAAAGGGUGCGUAGGUGGGCAGGUAAGUCAGUGGUGAAAUCCCCGAGCUUAACUUGGGAACUGCCAUUGAUACUAUUUGUCUUGAAUACUGUGGAGGUUAGCGGAAUAUGUCAUGUAGCGGUGAAAUGCUUAGAUAUGACAUAGAACAUCAAUUGCGAAGGCAGCUGGCUACACAAAUAUUGACACUGAUGCACGAAAGCGUGGGGAUCAAACAGG
This 253-nucleotide ribosomal RNA is filed under the name uncultured bacterium. Its description in RNAcentral is "partial 16S ribosomal RNA". It matches the Rfam family "Bacterial small subunit ribosomal RNA", at positions 524 to 776 of the family's 1533-position model. The record is from RNAcentral.